UGCGCAGGCGGUUUCGCAAGUCAGAUGUGAAAGCCCCGGGCUUAACCUGGGAACUGCAUUUGAAACUACGAGGCUAGAGUGUGUCAGAGGGGGGUAGAAUUCCACGUGUAGCAGUGAAAUGCGUAGAGAUGUGGAGGAAUACCGAUGGCGAAGGCAGCCCCCUGGGAUAACACUGACGCUCAUGCACGAAAGCGUGGGGAGCAAACA
RNAcentral lists this ribosomal RNA (207 nucleotides) under uncultured bacterium. Its description in RNAcentral is "partial 16S ribosomal RNA". It matches the Rfam family "Bacterial small subunit ribosomal RNA", at positions 568 to 774 of the family's 1533-position model. The record is from RNAcentral.